AUGGAUGACGACAUCGGACGAAAAGCAUCCACCCCAAGAAAGGAAACCAAGUCAAUGCGAACAAGAGAAGGAAUAACACACGAAAACGUUGCUGGUUAUUCCCCACCGCGGCUCCGCCCACCAAUCGUCAUCGUCGUCCUCCUCAUCCAACAGAACGUCGGCGACCACAGCACGCGACUCCUCCUGUCUGAGCGCCGGUUUAAUUUGUUCUUGCGGACCAUGGACGACGGGGACAUAGAUUUCACCAAUCCGGAGACGUAUCUUUGCCCGGCCAUGGGCACCGAUCCCCACGACAGCUGCUCCAUCUCCAUGGACAGCUACUUCGACGACUUUCUGAAAGACACGGAGACGGAGCAUCUCGCAUGUACUCACACCCACGCCUGCUGCAACUCGCAUGUACGCCAUGACCUUGCCCACCACACCCAGACCUGCAUCCAUGUCCACACCAAGAUCCUCCGGGAGGAGUCGGAUGAUGUCGCUGAGACCUCGGAGUCGCCGCAAGAGACCGACGGCCCAAAGAAGAAGCGCCCGCCGGGUAACCGGGCAGCUGUGAGGAAGUACCGUGAGAAGAAGAAGGCCCACACGACGCUGCUGGAGGAAGAGGUUGCUCGCCUCAAGGCUCUAAACAAGCAGCUCCUGAGGAGGCUUCAGAGUCACUCGGCGCUCGAGGCUGAGGCGUCCAGGCUCCGCUGCCUGCUUGUCGACAUUAGAGGGAGGAUCGAAGGAGAGCUUGGUGCUUUCCCUUACCAGCGGCCUGUGAAGAACAACGAUUCGGCUGACCAGGGAAGUUUCCUUGGUGGUGGUACCCAGCAGGUUAGGCUCACAUGCAACGAGCCGCUCUACCGCAGUCCAGAGAUGCAGGCCACGACAAUAGAUGACGAUUGUGGUACGAGUGGCGAGCUGUUGGGUCAAGCUGCCCGUGACAUUGCAAAUAACCAGUGGCUCCCAGGUUUGCCAGAUGAUGUAAAGAGGUGA
This 975-nucleotide ribosomal RNA is filed under the name Triticum aestivum (bread wheat). RNAcentral's name for it is "partial small subunit ribosomal RNA". Lineage: Eukaryota; Viridiplantae; Streptophyta; Magnoliopsida; Poales; Poaceae. The record is from RNAcentral.